Cavia porcellus (domestic guinea pig) is the source of this 70-nucleotide transfer RNA. It matches the Rfam family "tRNA". From Rfam's summary of the family: Transfer RNA (tRNA) molecules are approximately 80 nucleotides in length. Their secondary structure includes four short double-helical elements and three loops (D, anti-codon, and T loops). Further hydrogen bonds mediate the characteristic L-shaped molecular structure. tRNAs have two regions of fundamental functional importance: the anti-codon, which is responsible for specific mRNA codon recognition, and the 3' end, to which the tRNAs corresponding amino acid is attached (by aminoacyl-tRNA synthetases). tRNAs cope with the degeneracy of the genetic code in two manners: having more than one tRNA (with a specific anti-codon) for a particular amino acid; and 'wobble' base-pairing, i.e. permitting non-standard base-pairing at the 3rd anti-codon position. The record is from Rfam. NCBI's taxonomy places the organism in Eukaryota, Metazoa, Chordata, Mammalia, Rodentia, Caviidae.
GGUGAUAUAGCUUAGUGGCAUAAGCAUCUGCCUGAUAAGCACAAGGUCCUGAGUUUUAUUCCCAGUACCA